AUACGGAGGGAGCAAGCGUUAAUCGGAAUCACUGGGCGUAAAGGACGCGUAGGCGGGUUUGUAAGUAAGGUGUGAAAUCCUACAGCUCAACUGUAGAACUGCACUUGAAACUACAGACCUAGAGUAUGGAAGGGGCAGAUGGAAUUAGUGGUGUAGGGGUAAAAUCCGUAGAUAUCACUAGGAAUACCGAGAGCGAAGGCGAUCUGCUGGGACAUUACUGACGCUGAGGCGUGAAAGCGUGGGGAGCAAACAGGAUUAGAAACCCGGGUAGUCC
This 274-nucleotide ribosomal RNA is filed under the name uncultured bacterium. RNAcentral describes it as "partial 16S ribosomal RNA". It matches the Rfam family "Bacterial small subunit ribosomal RNA", at positions 523 to 796 of the family's 1533-position model. The record is from RNAcentral.